AUUAAAGUGGCAGAGCCUGGACAUUGCAAAAGGCCUAAGCCCUUUCCACAGAGGUUCAAGUCCUCUCUUUAAUU
Molecule: transfer RNA, 74 nt
Filed under: Aluterus scriptus (scrawled filefish)
Lineage: Eukaryota; Metazoa; Chordata; Actinopteri; Tetraodontiformes; Monacanthidae
Also listed under: 3 other names
Description: tRNA-Leu
Rfam family: tRNA
About the family: Transfer RNA (tRNA) molecules are approximately 80 nucleotides in length. Their secondary structure includes four short double-helical elements and three loops (D, anti-codon, and T loops).
Source: RNAcentral